GAUGAACGCUGGCGGCGUGCUUAACACAUGCAAGUCGAACGAAGCACUCUAUUUGAUUUUUUUCGGAAAUGAAGAUUUUGUGACUGAGUGGCGGACGGGUGAGUAACGCGUGGGUAACCUGCCUCAUACAGGGGGAUAACCGUUGGAAACGACUGCUAAUACCGCAUAAGCGCACAGUACUGCAUGGUACAGUGUGAAAAACGCCGGUGGUAUGAGAUGGACCCGCGUCUGAUUAGCUAGUUGGUGGGGUAACGGCCUACCAAGGCGACGAUCAGUAGCCGACCUGAGAGGGUGACCGGCCACAUUGGGACUGAGACACGGCCCAAACUCCUACGGGAGGCAGCAGUGGGGAAUAUUGCACAAUGGGGGAAACCCUGAUGCAGCGACGCCGCGUGAACGAAGAAGUAUUUCGGUAUGUAAAGUUCUAUCAGCAGGGAAGAUAAUGACGGUACCUGACUAAGAAGCACCGGCUAAAUACGUGCCAGCAGCCGCCGUAA
This 497-nucleotide ribosomal RNA is filed under the name uncultured bacterium. RNAcentral's name for it is "partial 16S ribosomal RNA". It matches the Rfam family "Bacterial small subunit ribosomal RNA", at positions 28 to 523 of the family's 1533-position model. The record is from RNAcentral.